AGUGAACGCUGGCGGUAGGCCUAACACAUGCAAGUCGAACGGUAGCACAGUAAGAGCUUGCUCUUACGGGUGGCGAGUGGCGGACGGGUGAGGAAUACAGCGGAAUCUACUUUUUCGUGGGGGAAAACGUAGGGAAACUUACGCUAAUACCGCAUACGACCUACGGGUGAAAGCAGGGGAUCUUCGGACCUUGCGCGAUUGAAUGAGCCGAUGUCGGAUUAGCUAGUUGGCGGGGUAAAGGCCCACCAAGGCGACGAUCCGUAGCUGGUCUGAGAGGAUGACCAGCCACACUGGAACUGAGACACGGUCCAGACUCCUACGGGAGGCAGCAGUGGGGAAUAUUGGACAAUGGGCGCAAGCCUGAUCCAGCCAUGCCGCGUGGGUGAAGAAGGCCUUCGGGUUGUAAAGCCCUUUUGUUGGGAAAGAAAAGCAGCAGGUUAAUACCCCGCUGUUCUGACGGUACCCAAAGAAUAAGCACCGGCUAACUUCGUG
Molecule: ribosomal RNA, 492 nt
Filed under: uncultured bacterium
Lineage: Bacteria
Description: partial 16S ribosomal RNA
Rfam family: Bacterial small subunit ribosomal RNA
Source: RNAcentral